Molecule: long non-coding RNA, 218 nt
Organism: Dipodomys ordii (Ord's kangaroo rat)
Lineage: Eukaryota; Metazoa; Chordata; Mammalia; Rodentia; Heteromyidae
Exons: 3
Source: RefSeq, a predicted model, not a curated record
CCCCGGACAUCUUCCUGGCCUGCGCCCGCAGGUUCUCUCCUCAUUCCCCCACCCCCACGUCAACCAGUGCCUGGUGCUGGAGGACACGCCCCACGGCAUGGCGGUCGCCCGGGCAGCGGGGAUGCAGGUGGUCAUGGUGCCCAGCGUCCAGCUCGACCCCGAACUCAACGGCCGGGGCCACCCUGCUGCUGCCCUCCUUGGGUGACAUACAACCCGAG